GGUGAGCACUGAACAAUUAAGAACAGCGUAUUACAUUUACUUUCCCCAAGAUAUGCGAAGAGCUUUCCUGAAACAUUAACCGAUCGUAUAAAACGAAUGCCUGAUAGUACUCCUGUCCGGCAUUGUUAUCACAAGUAGACUACGCUUAUCACAGCUUU
RNAcentral lists this unclassified non-coding RNA (158 nucleotides) under Escherichia coli. RNAcentral describes it as "ECHMS174_03256 small RNA". Lineage: Bacteria; Pseudomonadati; Pseudomonadota; Gammaproteobacteria; Enterobacterales; Enterobacteriaceae. The record is from RNAcentral.